Long non-coding RNA from Manacus vitellinus (golden-collared manakin), 544 nucleotides. RefSeq lists it as uncharacterized. The transcript is spliced from 2 exons. Lineage: Eukaryota; Metazoa; Chordata; Aves; Passeriformes; Pipridae. The record is from RefSeq and is a predicted model, not a curated record.
CAUAUUUAUACUGUGGAUCCUUUUUAAUUUUUUCAUCUCCUCACCAGAAGCACCUUACCUUUGGCUCUUUAAACUCCAGAUCCUCUCCAUACUGGAUGGUGAAGUCUAUGUGCUGCAGGACGAUGUUGAUACUUUCCUCGUCAGAGCGGUCGAAAGGCAGAAAUCGAACCAUUCCAUAGUCAUCGAUCUGGAGGGAGGAGCCAAAAGAAAAUCCACUUUCAAAUGGGUACCUUAAACGAUUCCACCAUAAACUGAGAAUCCACAAGGAAGACUCCACAGACACGGAAUUCCCACUGCUGGAGCUGCUCCACCAGCUGUUUCAUCACUGGCAGGUGCGUGUAGAGCUCGAUCUGACCUGGGGCACACUCAGGAUAUCAAUGGGUAGGAAUGGGAAGCAAACAGGAAUAUUUUGCAGUUGUAUAUAAACAUGGAAUUACACUUAAUAUAAAUAAAAACUGGUAAGAAAAGCAUCCUCUUUUAGGCAACUCUGACUGGUGAAGUGGAAAAGAAAUAAAAGGGGUAUUUUCCCUCCCUUGACCUCCAA